RNAcentral lists this ribosomal RNA (253 nucleotides) under uncultured bacterium. RNAcentral's name for it is "partial 16S ribosomal RNA". It matches the Rfam family "Bacterial small subunit ribosomal RNA", at positions 524 to 776 of the family's 1533-position model. The record is from RNAcentral.
GACAGAGGAUGCAAGCGUUAUCCGGAAUGAUUGGGCGUAAAGCGUCUGUAGGUGGCUUUUCAAGUCCGCCGUCAAAUCCCAGGGCUCAACCCUGGACAGGCGGUGGAAACUACCAAGCUGGAGUACGGUAGGGGCAGAGGGAAUUUCCGGUGGAGCGGUGAAAUGCGUAGAGAUCGGAAAGAACAUCAGUGGCGAAGGCGGGUUGCUGGGCCGACACUGACGCUGAUGCGCGAAAGCCAGGGGAGCGAACGGG